UAAUUGCGCGUCAACUUGUGAACUGCAGGACACAUGAACAUUGAUAUUUCGAACGCACAUUGCGGUCUUGGAAUACUAUUUCCAGACCACGCCUGCCUGAGGGUCGUG
RNAcentral lists this ribosomal RNA (108 nucleotides) under Abax parallelepipedus contractus. Its description in RNAcentral is "partial 5.8S ribosomal RNA". It matches the Rfam family "5.8S ribosomal RNA", at positions 50 to 154 of the family's 154-position model. From Rfam's summary of the family: 5.8S ribosomal RNA (5.8S rRNA) is a component of the large subunit of the eukaryotic ribosome. It is transcribed by RNA polymerase I as part of the 45S precursor that also contains 18S and 28S rRNA. The record is from RNAcentral. RNAcentral also lists the same sequence under 3 other names. Lineage: Eukaryota; Metazoa; Arthropoda; Insecta; Coleoptera; Carabidae.